RNAcentral lists this ribosomal RNA (433 nucleotides) under uncultured bacterium. Its description in RNAcentral is "partial 16S ribosomal RNA". It matches the Rfam family "Bacterial small subunit ribosomal RNA", at positions 29 to 507 of the family's 1533-position model. The record is from RNAcentral.
AACGAACGCUGGCGGCAUGCCUAACACAUGCAAGUCGAACGAGACCUUCGGGUCUAGUGGCGCACGGGUGCGUAACGCGUGGGAACCUGCCCUUAGGUUCGGCAUAACUCCCCGACAGGGGUGCUAAUACCGGAUAAUGUCUUCGGACCAAAGAUUUAUCGCCUUUGGAUGGGCCCGCGUUGGAUUAGCUGGUUGGUAGGGUAAAAGCCUACCAAGGCGACGAUCCAUAGCUGGUCUGAGAGGAUGACCAGCCACACUGGGACUGAGACACGGCCCAGACUCCUACGGGAGGCAGCAGUGGGGAAUAUUGGACAAUGGGCGAAAGCCUGAUCCAGCAAUGCCGCGUGAGUGAUGAAGGCCUUAGGGUUGUAAAGCUCUUUUACCCGGGAUGAUAAUGACAGUACCGGGAGAAUAAGCUCCGGCUAACUCCGUG